GCCAGAGACAAUAACACGAUGAAUACACCAGUUCCUAAUGGAUAACAGAAGUUGAGCAACGUUGCGCGUGGUUGGUAUCCAGAUGGGUGACCAUCUGGGAGAUCACGCGCUGCUGGCU
This 118-nucleotide ribosomal RNA is filed under the name Diaphorina citri (Asian citrus psyllid). The record is from RNAcentral. Lineage: Eukaryota; Metazoa; Arthropoda; Insecta; Hemiptera; Psyllidae.